GUGAGGAAUAUUGGUCAAUGGGCGAGAGCCUGAACCAGCCAAGUCGCGUGAAGGAAGAAGGAUCUAUGGUUCGUAAACUUCUUUUGCAGGGGAAUAAAGUGCAGGACGUGUCCUGUUUUGUAUGUACCCUGAGAAUAAGGAUCGGCUAACUCCGUGCCAGCAGCCGCGGUAAUACGGAGGAUCCGAGCGUUAUCCGGAUUUAUUGGGUUUAAAGGGUGCGUAGGUGGUUUGAUAAGUCAGCGGUGAAAGUUUGCAGCUUAACUGUAAAAAUGCCGUUGAAACUGUCGGACUUGAGUGUAAAUGAGGUAGGCGGAAUGCGUGGUGUAGCGGUGAAAUGCUUAGAUAUAACACAGAACACCAAUUGCGAAGGCAGCUUACUGGGAUACAACUGACGCUGAGGCACGAAAGCGUGGGGAUCAAACAGGAUUAGAUACCCGUGUAGUCC
Molecule: ribosomal RNA, 445 nt
Filed under: uncultured bacterium
Lineage: Bacteria
Description: partial 16S ribosomal RNA
Rfam family: Bacterial small subunit ribosomal RNA
Source: RNAcentral